This is a long non-coding RNA of Oreochromis aureus, 1222 nucleotides long. The record is from Ensembl. NCBI's taxonomy places the organism in Eukaryota, Metazoa, Chordata, Actinopteri, Cichliformes, Cichlidae.
UUUUGUAUGAUAUGUAUAACUAUGUAACUAUAUACACUAUAUAUCUAUGCACACUGAACAUAUAUAUUUUAACUUUCAUGUAGAGUCUUAAGCACAAGACAUUUUGCUUCACCGAGGGUUUUGGUGGAAGGAAGGGCUUAUUCAUUUGAGCAAUAACUGUGUGGGAUCUUUAUACAAAUUCUUAUGUUCUAUUUACAGCUUGCUUUAAAAUAUGUUAGCAAAAAAACAGCGCACGCAUUAGUUUUCACAAUUUUUGUUCUUCUUUAGUCAUGGGGUCUUUUUAGGUGGUACCUCCAGGUACCACAGGGGGGAAUGUGGUGGAUUUUUGUUUGAUAUGUAUAACUAUGUAACUAUAUACACUAUAUAUCUAUGCGCACUGAACAUAUAUAUUUUAACUUUCAUGUAGAGUCUUAAGCACAAGACAUUUUGCUUCACCGAGGUUUAUUAAGUUGGUACAGUAACAGGGCAGUUAAUGUAGGGUGAGAGUUCUCUUGAAUAAUUUACUUAAUAAUUAAUUAAUUUAACGUCUUUAAUGCAGCACAACCAAAACAGUAACAUUGUAAUAGAGAUCCUGAACACAUCACGAUAAAAUAUCAUACAAAAUACACACACACACACACACACACACACACACACACACACACUCUGAACCCACACUGAAGUGUUUUUAAGCAUGUAACCUGUGUAUUAUAUGUUAUAAGAUUGUGCCACUUGCUGUAUAAGAUUUAAUAAUUAGGAUUAAUGUGUGACCUUUGACCAUGUUGUGACCUAUUGUCAGAGGGUAAAGCAAAGGGUUAACCUAUUGGUGUCACUUUGGACCGGGCCCUCAGCCAGCGCCAGGUGUGAACUCUGGUCGCUACCUGACCCCAGCAGCUGUGCUGGGCGUGUGGGAAAGUUACCCAGCAGCAGGGGGCGGCGACACUGGUCCCUAUAUUAGGGGACCAGAGGACGCCCCCAGGGCUCUUUUUCCUCCUGCUGCUGCUACCUGUCCGUCUCUGUGUUGCUCUGCUGUCUGUGCUUAAGGCUGUACACCCCGGGGUUUUGCUUUGCUUGUUUUCUGCUCUGUAAUUUUCUUGCUAAAUGUCUGUAUGUAUUUUUCCUGCUGUUCAUAUGAUUCAGUGUAUUAAACUCUGUUCCAAGAAUUCUACUCUUUUACAGAGCAUCUUUUUGAGUGUCCUGGUUUUAAUUGGAUUUGGAUCUCCACAUCGUUGGUGGAAGAAGG